UAAGAAGGAUCUUCUGCUAAUUACAUGCACGUCCUAUGCAUAACGCAGAAGUCACCACAUCCUGCGGA
RNAcentral lists this small RNA (68 nucleotides) under Sporolactobacillus laevolacticus DSM 442. RNAcentral describes it as "Bacillaceae-1 RNA". It matches the Rfam family "Bacillaceae-1 RNA". The record is from Rfam by way of RNAcentral. Lineage: Bacteria; Bacillati; Bacillota; Bacilli; Caryophanales; Sporolactobacillaceae.